This 891-nucleotide ribosomal RNA is filed under the name uncultured bacterium. RNAcentral's name for it is "bacterial SSU rRNA". It matches the Rfam family "Bacterial small subunit ribosomal RNA", at positions 8 to 853 of the family's 1533-position model. The record is from RNAcentral.
AGAGUUUGAUCAUGGCUCAGGAUGAACGCUGGCGGCGUGCCUACAUACAUGCAAGUCGAACGCUUUGUUUUUAAUUGAUAUGAAGAGCUUGCUCUGAUUUGAUUUUAUCUGACAAAGAGUGGCGAACGGGUGAGUAACACGUGGGUAACCUACCUCUUAGCAGGGGAUAACACUUGGAAACAGGUGCUAAUACCGUAUAACAACAAAAUCCGCAUGGAUCUUGUUUGAAAGGUGGCUUCGGCUAUCACUUCUGGAUGAUCCCGCGGCGUAUUAGUUAGUUGGUGAGGUAAAGGCCCACCAAGACGAUGAUACGUAGCCGACCUGAGAGGGUAAUCGGCCACAUUGGGACUGAGACACGGCCCAAACUCCUACGGGAGGCAGCAGUAGGGAAUCUUCCACAAUGGACGAAAGUCUGAUGGAGCAAUGCCGCGUGAGUGAAGAAGGGUUUCGGCUCGUAAAACUCUGUUGUUAAAGAAGAACACCUUUGAGAGUAACUGUUCAAGGGUUGACGGUAUUUAACCAGAAAGCCACGGCUAACUACGUGCCAGCAGCCGCGGUAAUACGUAGGUGGCAAGCGUUGCCCGGAUUUAUUGGGCGUAAAGCGAGCGCAGGCGGUUUUUUAAGUCUGAUGUGAAAGCCUUCGGCUUAACCGGAGAAGUGCAUCGGAAACUGGGAGACUUGAGUGCAGAAGAGGACAGUGGAACUCCAUGUGUAGCGGUGGAAUGCGUAGAUAUAUGGAAGAACACCAGUGGCGAAGGCGGCUGUCUAGUCUGUAACUGACGCUGAGGCUCGAAAGCAUGGGUAGCGAACAGGAUUAGAUACCCUGGUAGUCCAUGCCGUAAACGAUGAGUGCUAAGUGUUGGAGGGUUUCCGCCCUUCAGUGCUGCAGCU